AUGGAGCCGACCUUGAAAUACCACCCUUUAAUGUUUGAUGUUCUAACGUUGACCCGUAAUCCGGGUUGCGGACAGUGUCUGGUGGGUAGUUUGACUGGGGCGGUCUCCUCCUAAAGAGUAACGGAGGAGCACGAAGGUUGGCUAAUCCUGGUCGGACAUCAGGAGGUUAGUGCAAUGGCAUAAGCCAGCUUGACUGCGAGCGUGACGGCGCGAGCAGGUGCGAAAGCAGGUCAUAGUGAUCCGGUGGUUCUGAAUGGAAGGGCCAUCGCUCAACGGAUAAAAGGUACUCCGGGGAUAACAGGCUGAUACCGCCCAAGAGUUCAUAUCGACGGCGGUGUUUGGCACCUCGAUGUCGGCUCAUCACAUCCUGGGGCUGAAGUAGGUCCCAAGGGUAUGGCUGUUCGCCAUUUAAAGUGGUACGCGAGCUGGGUUUAGAACGUCGUGAGACAGUUCGGUCCCUAUCUGCCGUGGGCGCUGGAGAACUGAGGGGGGCUGCUCCUAGUACGAGAGGACCGGAGUGGACGCAUCACUGGUGUUCGGGUUGUCAUGCCAAUGGCACUGCCCGGUAGCUAAAUGCGGAAGAGAUAAGUGCUGAAAGCAUCUAAGCACGAAACUUGCCCCGAGAUGAGUUCUCCCUGACUCCUUGAGAGUCCUGAAGGAACGUUGAAGACGACGACGUUGAUAGGCCGGGUGUGUAAGCGCAGCGAUGCGUUGAGCUAACCGGUACUAAUGAACCGUGAGGCUUAACCUUA
This 752-nucleotide ribosomal RNA is filed under the name Escherichia coli. Its description in RNAcentral is "partial 23S ribosomal RNA". It matches the Rfam family "Bacterial large subunit ribosomal RNA", at positions 2180 to 2925 of the family's 2925-position model. Lineage: Bacteria; Pseudomonadati; Pseudomonadota; Gammaproteobacteria; Enterobacterales; Enterobacteriaceae. The record is from RNAcentral.